GUUAGACCAGGCCUGUCAUGAAUAGGUUAGACCAGACCUGUCAGGAAUAGGUUAGACCAGACCUGUCAUGAAUAGGUUAGACCAGACCUGUCAGGAAUAGGUUAGACCAGACCUGUCAUGAAUAGGUUAGACCAGACCUGUCAUGAAUAGGUUAGACCAGACCUGUCAUGAAUAGGUUAGACCAGACCUGUCAGGAAUAGGUUAGACCAGACCUGUCAUGAAUAGGUUAGACCAGACCUGUCAGGAAUAGGUUAGACCAGAUCUGUCAGGAAUAGGUUAGACCAGACCUGUCAUGAAUAGGUUAGACCAGACCUGUCAUGAAUAGGUUAGACCAGGUGAAGCGAGGGUAGAGACUGGACAGGGCUGGGUAUAUCCUGUCAUGAAUAGGUUAGACCAGGUGAAGCGAGGGUAGAGACUGGACAGGGCUGGGUAUAUCCUGUCAUGAAUAGGUUAGACCAGGUGAAGCGAGGGUAGAGGCUGGACAGGGCUGGGUAUAUCCUGUCAUGAAUAGGUUAGACCAGGUGAAGUGAGGGUAGAGGCUGGACAGGGCUGGGUAUAUCCUGUCAUGAAUAGGUUAGACCAGGUGAAGUGAGGGUAGAGGCUGGGCAGGGCUGGGUAUAUCCUGUCAUGAAUAGGUUAGACCAGGUGAAGUGAGGGUAGAGGCUGGGCAGGGCUGGGUAUAUGUUUGGGAUUGGGAAGGCUCAGGGGACAAGGGGUUUUGGGUAUUUGAAGCGGCUUCACUUUUGUAUAAAAUGUAUCCUUUACAUUUCCCCAAAAAAACACUGACACAAAAAACUGUCCUGUUCUGGUCCCGUGUCUCCCUCUCCCUCUAUCAUCUUAGAGGUCCACUGUUUGUUCUAAACAACCCAUAGACAGUGUUACAAAAAUACAUAGACCUGCUAACAAUAACAGUUUAGUCUGGAGGUUACAAAGUGUUC
RNAcentral lists this long non-coding RNA (938 nucleotides) under Salmo salar (Atlantic salmon). RNAcentral describes it as "lncRNA (ENSSSAG00000109558.1)". The record is from RNAcentral. Lineage: Eukaryota; Metazoa; Chordata; Actinopteri; Salmoniformes; Salmonidae.